GCCACACCUUCUCUCCCUCAGGGUGGCCCUCUGUGCUCCUUCCCUUAUGUCCUGGAAGACCUGGGCCGUGUUUUGGACACAAGCUGAUUGGUGGUCCGCACCAGCCAGCUUCUGCGCUGCGUCACUGCCUGGCCUGGGACCAUGCUGUUCAUUCAUAAUGGCUACAGCAGCAUCUGUUAGCUUCACCUCAUCGCCAUGGCCCCGGCUGGAAGAAGCACAGCAGGUGGGAACAGGCAGGCAAGAAGAAAAGAAGAACAGAGCAUUUCAAGAGCAUGAGCACAGAGUGGUCCUCAGCCAACCUGAGAAGUCACAGAAGGCUUCCUGAAGAAAGCGAGCUCUCCGAGACUUCUGUGGUGGCUUCGACUGCUCCAUGAGCCCUCCACACAGCAGCUGGAAUGAUCUUUCAAUAAAACAAAUCAGAUCGUGCCAUUUGGUUCUUCAAGACCAAAGGUCAGUGAACGAUUUCUGUGAAGGAUCAUCCACCCAGCUGACUCCACUGUUGUAGUGUUGACGCAGCAAGGGCAAAUGUAAACAAAUGGGUAUGGCUGUGUGCCAAUAAAACUUUAUUUACAAAAACAGGCAACUGCUCAGAUUUGGCCCCUGGGUCAGAGAUUGCCAGUCCCUGCUCAAGAUCCUUCAAAACCCAGGUUUCAUUUGUCUUAGAUUGACGUCCUAUGGAAACAGGUCUCGAGAUGAGGAUGUGGUGAUUUAUACUGGAGGUGACUCCAAGAAACACAAAGGGUGGAGGCCAAUAAUGGGGCUCUAAGAACAAAGACCUCCAUGCACCGUAGACCUAAUCCCACCGGGAGCUCAGGGAGACCUGCUGGUAUUCUGCCUGAGCAGAGAGGGAGUCCGGCUUCUCUACUCUACCUCCUCUCAAUCACUAGUGGGGGGCUGAUGCCAGGUACAGUGCAGAGGCUUUAAUUCUCCAGCACCUCCAGCUGACCCAAAUGUUGGGUGAAGUAGGCUCUAGUGGCCAGACCACACCCCAGAGCACAGGGUCACAGGCACUUGGAGCUGGAAACAGAAAUGAGUGGCAUUCCGGGAGGGGAUGAAUGUCUACAACAUGGCAAGGCUGCCCUCACAUCCAUCUAAUUAAAAACUCCAAAUUUUUAAUAUCUGGUCUUUUACCAAAAGUGUUUGCCAACCCUGUUACACCAGCAGUAGAUUGCAGCCUCCUGGAGGGUGUUGUUGUCACUACCGUAUCCCCAACUUCUAGGACAGCCUAUCAUGCAUCACACAUUACAAAUGCUCAAGACAGCAUUUAUGGAAAGCAGGAAUAAAUGCCUGCGUGGGACCGAGGAGUCCCCUAAUGCUUGCUGUGCAUUGAUGCUCCCCUGGUGAGUGACACUUCCGCUAAGACACCACCCGAUGCUCACCACGACCCCUCAGUGACCCAAUCAUACCCACUUCACAGGUAAGAAGACCCCAGUCACCCCAAAUCCCAUAUCUCUCAAUAUGGUGGGCCCAGA
Talpa occidentalis (Iberian mole) is the source of this 1472-nucleotide long non-coding RNA. RefSeq lists it as uncharacterized. The transcript is spliced from 3 exons. The record is from RefSeq and is a predicted model, not a curated record. NCBI's taxonomy places the organism in Eukaryota, Metazoa, Chordata, Mammalia, Eulipotyphla, Talpidae.